RNAcentral lists this ribosomal RNA (460 nucleotides) under uncultured bacterium. RNAcentral describes it as "partial 16S ribosomal RNA". It matches the Rfam family "Bacterial small subunit ribosomal RNA", at positions 338 to 795 of the family's 1533-position model. The record is from RNAcentral.
UCUACGGGGUGCAGCAGUGAGGAAUAUUGGUCAAUGGGCGGGAGCCUGAACCAGCCAAGUCGCGUGAGGGAAGACGGUCCUACGGAUUGUAAACCUCUUUUGCCGGGGAGCAACGGGGUCCUUGCGAGGGCCCGAUGAGAGCACCCGGAGAAAAAGCAUCGGCUAACUUCGUGCCAGCAGCCGCGGUAUUAGGGGGGAUGCGAGCGUUAUCCGGUUUUAUGGGGGUUAAAGGGUGCGUAGGCGGGCUGUUAAGUCAGCGGUAAAAUGUCGGGGCUCAACCCCGGCCUGCAGUUGAAACUGGCGGCCUCGAGUGGGCGAGAGGUAUGCGGAAUGCGUGGUGUAGCGGUGAAAUGCAUAGAUAUCACGCAGAACUCCAGUUGCGAAGGCAGCAUACCGGCGCCCGACUGACGCUGAGGCACGAAAGCGUGGGUAUCGAACAGGAUUAGAUACCCGAGUAGUC